AGCCGGUGACAUCCGACAUGUCGUCCUUUUUGGCGUCCUUUCCGAAGGGCCCCAUGCUGCAUCCCCCGGACGAGCAGCCGACGGCCACCAGCACAGCAGCCGUGACAAGCCCGAUCGGCGAUAGGCCGCGGCCCUCGCGUACCCUAUAUAAGGAACGCUCGAGAACACGCUUGGCACGAAGAGGCGCCAGGGUACGCAACCGGAUACUCCAGACAUGAACGGUCCACACUCCAUCAAAACCCCAGCCGAGUUAAUUUCCGGUGAUUUC
Molecule: unclassified non-coding RNA, 268 nt
Filed under: Hevea brasiliensis (rubber tree)
Lineage: Eukaryota; Viridiplantae; Streptophyta; Magnoliopsida; Malpighiales; Euphorbiaceae
Source: RNAcentral